Molecule: ribosomal RNA, 251 nt
Filed under: uncultured soil bacterium
Lineage: Bacteria
Description: partial 16S ribosomal RNA
Rfam family: Bacterial small subunit ribosomal RNA
Source: RNAcentral
AGGAUGAACGCUGGCGGCGUGCUUAACACAUGCAAGUCAAGGGGGCCCAGCAAUGGGUAACCGGCGAACGGGUGCGUAACACGUGAGCAACCUACCGAAUUGUGGGGGAUAGCCGGCCCAACGGCCGGGUAAUACCGCAUACGCUCGAGACGAGGCAUUUCGACUCGAGGAACCUACGGGACAUUUCGAGGGGCUCGCGGCCUAUCAGCUAGUUGGUGAGGUAACGGCUCACCAAGGCGACGACGGGUAGC